GACGAACGCUGGCGGCGUGCUUAACACAUGCAAGUCGAACGGAAAGGCCCUGCUUUUGUGGGGUGCUCGAGUGGCGAACGGGUGAGUAACACGUGAGUAACCUGCCCUUGACUUUGGGAUAACUUCAGGAAACUGGGGCUAAUACCGGAUAGGAUCUCCUGCUGCAUGGUGGGGGUUGGAAAGUUUCGGCGGUUGGGGAUGGACUCGCGGCUUAUCAGCUUGUUGGUGGGGUAGUGGCUUACCAAGGCUUUGACGGGUAGCCGGCCUGAGAGGGUGACCGGCCACAUUGGUACUGAGAUACGGCGCAGACUCCUACGGGAGGCAGCAGUGGGGAAUAUUGCACAAUGGGCGGAAGCCUGAUGCAGCAACGCCGCGUGCGGGAUGACGGCCUUCGGGUUGUAAACCGCUUUCGCCUGUGACGAAGCGGGAGUGACGGUAAUGGGUAAAGAAGCACCGGCUAACUACGUG
This 468-nucleotide ribosomal RNA is filed under the name uncultured bacterium. RNAcentral's name for it is "partial 16S ribosomal RNA". It matches the Rfam family "Bacterial small subunit ribosomal RNA", at positions 28 to 507 of the family's 1533-position model. The record is from RNAcentral.